GCGCUCACUUCAGCAGCACAUAUACUAAAAUUGGAGCAAUACAGAGAAGAUUAGCAUGGCCCUUGCAUAAGGAUGACAUGUUAAAAAAUAUAUAGGGCCAGAGAGAU
Small nuclear RNA from Sorex fumeus (smoky shrew), 107 nucleotides. The record is from RefSeq and is a predicted model, not a curated record. Lineage: Eukaryota; Metazoa; Chordata; Mammalia; Eulipotyphla; Soricidae.